This is a long non-coding RNA of Acomys russatus (golden spiny mouse), 681 nucleotides long. RefSeq lists it as uncharacterized. NCBI's taxonomy places the organism in Eukaryota, Metazoa, Chordata, Mammalia, Rodentia, Muridae. The transcript has 3 exons. The record is from RefSeq and is a predicted model, not a curated record.
GCGGGCUCCCGGCUUUCAGGCUCCGCGCAGUCUGCGGGCGGGAGGGUGCCGGCGAGGUGGUGAGGGCGGCGGGUGCGGGGGCACAGCCGCCCUGGCCAAAUCCCGAGACCGGAGGACAUCCCCCUCCCAGCGCUCUCACACGGGCAACUUCCCGCUGCCCUGGACGGAGUUUCUCCGUUGCUCACGGACAUCCAGGAGGCGGUGUGGAGGGCAAGCAGGGUAACCCCCACUCUUAACCCACAUCUGUCCAAGGGGAGCCCGAGGAGUCAGCAGGUCCGGACUCGCUGAGGAGGCUCCACGCGGGGCCUCCCAUGCACAGACCUUCGGCCUUGUCCCGUCACUGCUGGUGCAGGAGCUGCGCAGGAUGGGAGGGUGGCCCAGCUCCAGCAGAGAUGCCUCAGGUGGCUGGACAAUGAUGCUUUGUUGGAGGUGAUCCCAGCACCCAGGGAGACAUGUCCACACUGGCCUUCUCAUCUGGAAGCCCCUGGCAGGCAAGAUCUGAGAGAGGCCUAAGGAAAGCACGUUACAGAACUUAGACCAAUUACCUGUGGCCAGUGUGGGAGAAGCUGGAGCAGAGCGGGGACACUGAGGACCUGUCUCCACAUCUUAGCUUGUGGUUUAGGUUUGUCAGGGCUCAGGAGGGAACCCGGAAGGUGAGAGUCUUAUUGGGGAACACAUUAU